GAUGAACGCUGGCGGCGUGCCUAAUACAUGCAAGUCGAGCGAACGGACGAGAAGCUUGCUUCUCUGAUGUUAGCGGCGGACGGGUGAGUAACACGUGUAUAACCUACCUAUAAGACUGGGAUAACUUCGGGAAACCGGAGCUAAUACCGGAUAAUAUUUUGAUCCGCAUGGUUCAAAAGUGAAAGACGGUCUUGCUGUCACUUAUAGAUGGAUCCGCGCUGCAUUAGCUUGUUGGUAAGGUAACGGCUUACCAAGGCAACGAUGCAUAGCCGACCUGAGAGGGUGAUCGGCCACACUGGAACUGAGACGCGGUCCAGACUCCUAAGGGAGGCAGCAGUAGGGAAUCUGACGCAAUAGGCGAAAGCCUGACGGAGCAACGCCGCGUGAGUGAUGAAGGUCUUCGGAUCGUAAAACUCUGUUAUUAGGGAAGAACAUAUGUGUAAGUAACUGUGCACAUCUUGACGGUACCUAAUCAGAAAGCCACGGCUAACUACGUG
Molecule: ribosomal RNA, 497 nt
Filed under: uncultured bacterium
Lineage: Bacteria
Description: partial 16S ribosomal RNA
Rfam family: Bacterial small subunit ribosomal RNA
Source: RNAcentral